UACGUAGGGUGCGAGCGUUAAUCGGAAUUACUGGGCGUAAAGUGUGCGCAGGCGGCUUCGCAAGUCGAGUGUGAAAUCCCCGAGCUUAACUUGGGAAUUGCGCUCGAAACUACGGAGCUGGAGUGUGGCAGAGGAAGGUGGAAUUCCACGUGUAGCGGUGAAAUGCGUAGAGAUGUGGAGGAACACCGAUGGCGAAGGCAGCCUUCUGGGCCAACACUGACGCUAAUGCACGAAAGCGUGGGGAGCAAACAGG
RNAcentral lists this ribosomal RNA (253 nucleotides) under uncultured bacterium. RNAcentral describes it as "partial 16S ribosomal RNA". It matches the Rfam family "Bacterial small subunit ribosomal RNA", at positions 524 to 776 of the family's 1533-position model. The record is from RNAcentral.